Molecule: ribosomal RNA, 484 nt
Filed under: uncultured bacterium
Lineage: Bacteria
Description: partial 16S ribosomal RNA
Rfam family: Bacterial small subunit ribosomal RNA
Source: RNAcentral
AUUGAACGCUGGCGGCAGGCCUAGCACAUGCAAGUCGAGCGGAUGAAGGGAGCUUGCUCCUGGAUUCAGCGGCGGACGAGUGAGUAAUGCCUAGGAAUCUGCCUGGUAGUGGGGGAUAACGUCCGGAAACGGGCGCUAAUACCGCAUACGUCCUGAGGGAGAAAGUGGGGGAUCUUCGGACCUCACGCUAUCAGAUGAGCCUAGGUCGGAUUAGCUAGUUGGUGGGGUAAAGGCCUACCAAGGCGACGAUCCGUAACUGGUCUGAGAGGAUGAUCAGUCACACUGGAACUGAGACACGGUCCAGACUCCUACGGGAGGCAGCAGUGGGGAAUAUUGGACAAUGGGCGAAAGCCUGAUCCAGCCAUGCCGCGUGUGUGAAGAAGGUCUUCGGAUUGUAAAGCACUUUAAGUUGGGAGGAAGGGCAGUAAGUUAAUACCUUGCUGUUUUGACGUUACCAACAGAAUAAGCACCGGCUAACUUCGUG